This is an RNA transcript of Hyla sarda, 1218 nucleotides long. It is a transcript of the gene named spermatogenesis associated serine rich 1, with no coding region annotated. The record is from RefSeq and is a predicted model, not a curated record. The transcript has 8 exons. Lineage: Eukaryota; Metazoa; Chordata; Amphibia; Anura; Hylidae.
UGCUAUGGGCAACUGGACAACUUUUCCUCUGGACAGGUUUUGAUAAAUCUCCCCACAGUGUCCAAAAAAAAAAAAGGAAAAUGGAGCCGUCCCCACCUGAAGCAGCUAUCCCUGGCACAGAAAAUUGUAAUAAUGUGCUACAUCAUGGCUGCCACUUCAAAGAAAAUGAAUGCCAUAGUAAUAUUGAAGAAGAACAGGAAAAAAUUAGUUUUUUCCCAAUUAUUCACCACAAUGUCCAAACCUAUCCCAACUGCGAUUUAGACUGGAAGCCUUGUGUACGAUGGCUGCCCUCACCUCGAUAUUCAGAAGCCCCACUGCCUCAUAUAAAGGACGCACAAUUCCCAGAGUACAUAAGAAUCCAGCGAUCAUAUCCCGGCAGCAGCCUAAAUGAUGGAGCUGAAUGGAGUUUUUAUCCCAACUUUGGCUGUGACUUUACUUACCAUACCGGGAAGAGAUGUAUCAUUGGCGGUGUUCAUAGAGGCAGCCGGGUGGGCACACAUGUUCACACACUACCAAAGAGCACUGGAAUAAAGAAGAAAGUUUUCGAUCCCCGAAACGGAAUCCCUGAAGCUCAUCCGGGAGACAAACCUUACCACACAGUAGAAUACAGCGCUGGUUUCCACAGACUUGGCUCUACACUUCCGGUGGUAAAUUUUAGGGAAUCCUUCAAGGUUAAAGCCGAUACUUUCAUUCCUCUACAAAAAUUACCCAAGAAACCAGGUAUUCCAUACAAAGCCAAGAUUCACAUGCAAAACCUGGAGGAAGAGAAGCGAGAUGUGGAAGAACUCAAUAGAUGGAAACCGGCCCAGCGCUCCUUUCUCUUCGAAUUCCCUGUAAAUGGACAAAAAUAAAAGUUGAUACAAAUGCAAUUCCCAGCCAUGUCCACCGUCUGCUUGCUAGAGAUUAUCCACCCAUUAUACCUGCAUCCCAUCGAUCCAAUCACAUCCAUUAAAGACAGCGUGAGGACAAAGGUGCAGUGUCAGACAGGUAUUCUGGCAAGGACGCCGGGAGCCUCCGCGUGAAGGUGACAGCUGUAUCGCACUUCCGUGCUUCUUCAGACCAUCAAUGGUCCAAUGAACAUUUGGAUUGCCUAUUAAGAUUGAGCACCACUUCAAGUCAAAGUUAUUCACCUGUCAAGUGAUUGCAUCUUUCCGGACUAUCAGCAGUGCCAGUCUCUCUCUCACUAUACUUUGCUGUAAUUUACAAAUUUGUUUUAAC